Molecule: ribosomal RNA, 928 nt
Filed under: Salmonella enterica
Lineage: Bacteria; Pseudomonadati; Pseudomonadota; Gammaproteobacteria; Enterobacterales; Enterobacteriaceae
Description: partial 23S ribosomal RNA
Rfam family: Bacterial large subunit ribosomal RNA
Source: RNAcentral
GAUGGCCAGGCUGUCUCCACCCGAGACUCAGUGAAAUUGAACUCGCUGUGAAGAUGCAGUGUACCCGCGGCAAGACGGAAAGACCCCGUGAACCUUUACUAUAGCUUGACACUGAACAUUGAGCCUUGAUGUGUAGGAUAGGUGGGAGGCUUUGAAGUGUGGACGCCAGUCUGCAUGGAGCCGACCUUGAAAUACCACCCUUUAAUGUUUGAUGUUCUAACGUGGACCCGUGAUCCGGGUUGCGGACAGUGUCUGGUGGGUAGUUUGACUGGGGCGGUCUCCUCCUAAAGAGUAACGGAGGAGCACGAAGGUUGGCUAAUCCUGGUCGGACAUCAGGAGGUUAGUGCAAUGGCAUAAGCCAGCUUGACUGCGAGCGUGACGGCGCGAGCAGGUGCGAAAGCAGGUCAUAGUGAUCCGGUGGUUCUGAAUGGAAGGGCCAUCGCUCAACGGAUAAAAGGUACUCCGGGGAUAACAGGCUGAUACCGCCCAAGAGUUCAUAUCGACGGCGGUGUUUGGCACCUCGAUGUCGGCUCAUCACAUCCUGGGGCUGAAGUAGGUCCCAAGGGUAUGGCUGUUCGCCAUUUAAAGUGGUACGCGAGCUGGGUUUAGAACGUCGUGAGACAGUUCGGUCCCUAUCUGCCGUGGGCGCUGGAGAACUGAGGGGGGCUGCUCCUAGUACGAGAGGACCGGAGUGGACGCAUCACUGGUGUUCGGGUUGUCAUGCCAAUGGCACUGCCCGGUAGCUAAAUGCGGAAGAGAUAAGUGCUGAAAGCAUCUAAGCACGAAACUUGCCCCGAGAUGAGUUCUCCCUGAGACUUAGAGUCUCCUGAAGGAACGUUGAAGACGACGACGUUGAUAGGCCGGGUGUGUAAGCGCAGCGAUGCGUUGAGCUAACCGGUACUAAUGAACCGUGAGGCUUAACCUUACA